UUGAUUAUAAUUUAAAGUCUAACCUGCCCAAUGAUUAUUUGAAUGGCUGCGGUAAUUUGACCGUACUAAGGUAGCAUAAUAAUUAGUUUUUUAAUUGAAAGCUGGUAUGAAUGGUUGGACGAGAAAAUAGCUGUCUCAGUUUAAUUUAAUUAGAAUUUUAUCUUUAAGUAAAAAAGCUUAAAUAAUUUUAAAAGACGAGAAGACCCUAUAGAGUUUUAUAUUUUAUAGUUAUUAUGAAUUUUAAGAAUUUUAUAUUUAUUUGAUUAUAAAGUAUUUUGUUGGGGUGACAAAAAAAUUGAAUUAACUUUUUUUAUAUUAUUUCACUGAUUUGUGAAUAAGUGAUCCAUAGUUUAUGAUUAAAAGAUUAAAUUACCUUAGGGAUAACAGCGUAAUUUUUUUUGAGAGUUCUUAUCGAAAAAAAAGAUUGCGACCUCGAUG
This 438-nucleotide ribosomal RNA is filed under the name Omorgus candidus. RNAcentral describes it as "partial 16S ribosomal RNA". It matches the Rfam family "Bacterial large subunit ribosomal RNA", at positions 1833 to 2531 of the family's 2925-position model. Lineage: Eukaryota; Metazoa; Arthropoda; Insecta; Coleoptera; Trogidae. The record is from RNAcentral.